RNAcentral lists this ribosomal RNA (200 nucleotides) under uncultured bacterium. RNAcentral's name for it is "partial 16S ribosomal RNA". It matches the Rfam family "Bacterial small subunit ribosomal RNA", at positions 8 to 213 of the family's 1533-position model. The record is from RNAcentral.
AGAGUUUGAUCCUGGCUCAGAUUGAACGCUGGCGGCACGCCUAACACAUGCAAGUCGAGCGGUAACAGUCUUAGUAGCAAUACUGAGAGCUGACGAGCGGCGGACGGGUGAGUAAUACGUAGGAACCUGCCCUUGAGAGGGGGACAACCAAGGGAAACUUUGGCUAAUACCGCAUAAACUCGAGAGAGCAAAGCUGCCCG